Zophobas morio is the source of this 238-nucleotide long non-coding RNA. RefSeq lists it as uncharacterized. Lineage: Eukaryota; Metazoa; Arthropoda; Insecta; Coleoptera; Tenebrionidae. The transcript is spliced from 2 exons. The record is from RefSeq and is a predicted model, not a curated record.
CUAACUUGAUAAAAAAAUGGCUAAGAAAAUCUACAAAUUAAUAAUGUACAGUGUCACUGUGGCAUCUUUAAUUAUUUUCUGUGGUCCUACCCCACCCUAGUUCCUGAUUCGAGAAUGUAAAUUUCCGAAGAAAUGGUGUCUUGGAUUCCGACCAACAAAUAUACUUAACUAUGUACUAUAUCUAUAAACACCUUGCACUUUGCACUGCGUAGUAAUAAAAGCAUAUUAAAAAUUCAAA